GUUGUAUAGUCAAGUAAUUAAGUGCAUGUGGUGGAUGCCUUGGCAGUCAGAGGCGAUGAAAGACGUGAUAGCCUGCGAAAAGCUCCGGGGAGGCGGCAAAUAUCCUUUGAUCCGGAGAUGUCUGAAUGGGGAACCCACCUACUUUAAGGUAGGUAUUGCAACAUGAAUACAUAGUGUUGCAAGGCGAACGAGGGGAAGUGAAACAUCUCAGUACCCUUAGGAAAAGAAAUCAAUUGAGAUUCCCUCAGUAGCGGCGAGCGAACGGGGAUCAGCCCAUUAAGUUAUGUGUGUUUUAGUGGAACGCUCUGGGAAGUGCGAACGUAGAGGGUGAUAUUCCCGUACACGAAAGGGCACACAUAAUGAUGACGAGUAGGGCGAGGCACGUGAAACCUUGUCUGAAUAUGGGGGACCAUCCUCCAAGGCUAAAUACUCCUGACUGACCGAUAGUGAACCAGUACCGUGAGGGAAAGGCGAAAAGAACCCCUGUGAGGGGAGUGAAAUAGAUCCUGAAACCGCAUGCAUACAAGCAGUGGGAGCACCUUCGUGGUGUGACUGCGUACCUUUUGUAUAAUGGGUCAGCGACUUAUAUUCAGUAGCGAGGUUAACCGUAUAGGGGAGCCGUAGAGAAAUCGAGUCUUAAUAGGGCGUUUUUAGUUGCUGGGUAUAGACCCGAAACCAGGCGAUCUAUCCAUGAGCAGGUUGAAGGUUGGGUAACACUAACUGGAGGACCGAACCCACUGUCGUUGAAAAGCCAGGGGAUGACUUGUGGAUAGGGGUGAAAGGCUAAUCAAGCCUGGUGAUAGCUGGUUCUCCCCGAAAGCUAUUUAGGUAGCGCCUCGGACGAAUACCAUAGGGGGUAGAGCACUGUUUCGGCUAGGGGUCAUCCCGACUUACCAAACCGAUGCAAACUCCGAAUACCUAUGAGUACUAUCCGGGAGACAGACUGCGGGUGCUAACGUCCGUAGUCAAGAGGAAAACAAUCCAGACCGCCAGCUAAGGCCCCAAAAUCAUAGUUAAGUGGGAAACGAUGUGGGAAGGCAUAGACAGCUAGGAGGUUGGCUUAGAAGCAGCCACCCUUUAAAGAAAGCGUAAUAGCUCACUAGUCGAGUCGGCCUGCGCGGAAGAUGUAACGGGGCUAAAACUAUGUGCCGAAGCUGCGGAUGUAUACUUUGUAUACGUGGUAGGGGAGCGUUCUGUAAGCCGAUGAAGGUGUGUUGAGAAGCAUGCUGGAGGUAUCAGAAGUGCGAAUGCUGACGUGAGUAACGACAAAACGGGUGAAAAACCCGUUCGCCGAAAGACCAAGGGUUCCAGUCCAACGUUAAUCGGGGCUGGGUGAGUCGACCCCUAAGGCGAGGCCGAAAGGCGUAGUCGAUGGGAAAAUGGUUAAUAUUCCAUUACUUCUGUGUAAUGCGAUGAGAGGACGGAGAAGGCUAAAUCAGCCUGGCGUUGGUUGUCCAGGUGAAAGGAUGUAGGCAUGUAUCUUAGGCAAAUCCGGGGUACUCUAUGCUGAGAUCUGAUAGCAAGCUGUACUUGUACAGCGAAGUGGUUGAUGCCAUGCUUCCAGGAAAAGUCUCUAAGCUUCAGUUACACAGGAAUCGUACCCGAAACCGACACAGGUGGUCAGGUCGAGUAGACCAAGGCGCUUGAGAGAACUCUGCUGAAGGAACUAGGCAAAAUGGUACCGUAACUUCGGGAGAAGGUACGCUGUUGUUGGUGAUGGAACUCGCUUCCUGAGCUGACGACAGCCGCAGAAACCAGGCCGCUGCAACUGUUUAUUAAAAACAUAGCACUCUGCAAACACGAAAGUGGACGUAUAGGGUGUGAUGCCUGCCCGGUGCUGGAAGGUUAAUUGAUGGGGUUAGCGUAAGCGAAGCUCUUGAUCGAAGCCCCAGUAAACGGCGGCCGUAACUAUAACGGUCCUAAGGUAGCGAAAUUCCUUGUCGGGUAAGUUCCGACCUGCACGAAUGGCAUAAUGAUGGCGGCGCUGUCUCCAGCAGAGGCUCAGUGAAAUCGAAAUCGCUGUGAAGAUGCAGUGUACCCGCGGCUAGACGGAAAGACCCCGUGAACCUUUACUGCAGCUUGACACUGAACUUUGACCUUACUUGUGUAGGAUAGGUGGGAGGCUUUGAAGCUGGAACGCUAGUUCCAGUGGAGCCGUCCUUGAAAUACCACCCUGGUAAUGUUGAGGUUCUAACUCUGUCCCGUGAUCCGGGACGAGGACCGUGUCUGGUGGGUAGUUUGACUGGGGCGGUCUCCUCCUAAAGAGUAACGGAGGAGUACGAAGGUGCGCUCAGCGUGGUCGGAAAUCACGCGUAGAGUAUAAAGGCAAAAGCGCGCUUAACUGCGAGACCCACAAGUCGAGCAGGUACGAAAGUAGGUCUUAGUGAUCCGGUGGUUCUGUAUGGAAGGGCCAUCGCUCAACGGAUAAAAGGUACUCUGGGGAUAACAGGCUGAUACCGCCCAAGAGUUCAUAUCGACGGCGGUGUUUGGCACCUCGAUGUCGGCUCAUCUCAUCCUGGGGCUGAAGCAGGUCCCAAGGGUAUGGCUGUUCGCCAUUUAAAGAGGUACGCGAGCUGGGUUUAGAACGUCGUGAGACAGUUCGGUCCCUAUCUACCGUGGGCGCUGGAAAUUUGAGAGGAUCUGCUCCUAGUACGAGAGGACCAGAGUGGACGAACCUCUGGUGUACCGGUUGUGACGCCAGUCGCAUCGCCGGGUAGCUAUGUUCGGAAGGGAUAACCGCUGAAAGCAUCUAAGCGGGAAGCCUACCUCAAGAUAAGAUUUCCCUAGGACUUUAUGUCCUCUAAAGAGCCGUUCGAGACUAGGACGUUGAUAGGUUGGAUGUGGAAGCAUAGUGAUAUGUGAAGCUGACCAAUACUAAUUGCUCGUGAGGCUUGACUAUACAACACCCAAGCAGUUG
Molecule: ribosomal RNA, 2917 nt
Filed under: Acinetobacter baumannii
Lineage: Bacteria; Pseudomonadati; Pseudomonadota; Gammaproteobacteria; Moraxellales; Moraxellaceae
Description: 23S ribosomal RNA
Rfam family: Bacterial large subunit ribosomal RNA
Source: RNAcentral